UAGGGAAUCUUCGGCAAUGGACGAAAGUCUGACCGAGCAACGCCGCGUGAGUGAAGAAGGUUUUCGGAUCGUAAAACUCUGUUGUUAGAGAAGAACAAGGACGUUAGUAACUGAACGUCCCCUGACGGUAUCUAACCAGAAAGCCACGGCUAACUACGUGCCAGCAGCCGCGGUAAUACGUAGGUGGCAAGCGUUGUCCGGAUUUAUUGGGCGUAAAGCGAGCGCAGGCGGUUUCUUAAGUCUGAUGUGAAAGCCCCCGGCUUAACCGGGGAGGGUCAUUGGAAACUGGGAGACUUGAGUGCAGAAGAGGAGAGUGGAAUUCCAUGUGUAGCGGUGAAAUGCGUAGAUAUAUGGAGGAACACCAGUGGCGAAGGCGGCUCUCUGGUCUGUAACUGACGCUGAGGCUCGAAAGCGUGGGGAGCAAACAGG
RNAcentral lists this ribosomal RNA (429 nucleotides) under Chloroflexota bacterium. Its description in RNAcentral is "Chloroflexi bacterium partial 16S ribosomal RNA". It matches the Rfam family "Bacterial small subunit ribosomal RNA", at positions 355 to 776 of the family's 1533-position model. RNAcentral also lists the same sequence under 1 other name. The record is from RNAcentral. Lineage: Bacteria; Bacillati; Chloroflexota.